This is a long non-coding RNA of Physeter macrocephalus (sperm whale), 374 nucleotides long. RefSeq lists it as uncharacterized. The transcript is spliced from 4 exons. NCBI's taxonomy places the organism in Eukaryota, Metazoa, Chordata, Mammalia, Artiodactyla, Physeteridae. The record is from RefSeq and is a predicted model, not a curated record.
CUCCACAACCAGCAGAUGUGGGUCAUCGACAUGGUGUGUCUGCACAACAUGAACCUGGUUGGCGAUUGCGUCGACCGACCAGAAGACAGAGUUCUUUGAUAUCAGUAACCGUAAAUGUGUCCAGGCCUUCACCUUCAUCGAUCUGGACAGCUGCGUCCUGACCUUGAACUACUGGUCUGACUAUCACAGGGCUGUGUCCUGCGAUGGGGACACAAAAGGCAAUGUCGUCGUCUUCACCUCCAACGAUGUAACCAAUCGGCUGUUCAACCCCCACAUCCUCCCCAGGACCUCCAGAUGGGAUCACUGGACCAACGUUUCCACACGGAAGCUCUUAAAUGAGAAGUCCCCUAUGUAUAGAAGUUACUGGCUGAGGG